UUUAAAAAAAAGAAUAAAAAUUAAUCAUUGAAUUUUGUUGAAUGAUGAUAAUAAAAAGAAUACCCGACUGAGUUUCUUGUGGGCUCUGCUCAGACCCUUUGGAAACCUCGUAGCUUUAGUUUUAAGUUUACGUAAUUAAUUAUCACCACUAUAUCAUCUU
Maniola jurtina (meadow brown) is the source of this 160-nucleotide long non-coding RNA. RefSeq lists it as uncharacterized. The transcript has 3 exons. NCBI's taxonomy places the organism in Eukaryota, Metazoa, Arthropoda, Insecta, Lepidoptera, Nymphalidae. The record is from RefSeq and is a predicted model, not a curated record.